RNAcentral lists this ribosomal RNA (464 nucleotides) under uncultured bacterium. RNAcentral's name for it is "partial 16S ribosomal RNA". It matches the Rfam family "Bacterial small subunit ribosomal RNA", at positions 30 to 444 of the family's 1533-position model. The record is from RNAcentral.
UGAACGCUAGUGACAUGCCUUACACAUGCAAGUUGAAUGGUUAAAUUUUUUUUUACCCAUAGCGAACGGGUGUAGAAUAUGUGGGAAUCUGCCUUAUAAUUUGGGAUAAUCAUACUGAUUAAAUUUUUUAAUUGGGAAUUAUUAUGUUUACCAUAAUAAGUGAAAAUACCGAAUAGCAUAAUAAAAGCUUGUUUAUGACAUAGUCAUUGCUUUAUGUAAAAGAGCAUUAUCGUUAUAAGAUGAGCCCACACAGGAUUAGGUAGUUGGUAGGGUAAAGGCCUACCAAGCCAAAGAUCCUUAGCUGGUCUGAAAGGAUGUACAGCCACACUGGGACUGAGACACGGCCCAGACUCCGUUAGGAGGCAGCAGUGAGGAAUAUUGGACAAUGAGCGAAAGCUUGAUCCAGCAAUGUCACAAAAAGGAAGACGGCUAAGAUAUAGGGUCCUAAACUUUAUUCGUAGGGG